This 591-nucleotide ribosomal RNA is filed under the name Mycolicibacterium llatzerense. Its description in RNAcentral is "bacterial SSU rRNA". It matches the Rfam family "Bacterial small subunit ribosomal RNA", at positions 89 to 694 of the family's 1533-position model. The record is from RNAcentral. Lineage: Bacteria; Bacillati; Actinomycetota; Actinomycetes; Mycobacteriales; Mycobacteriaceae.
ACUCGAGUGGCGAACGGGUGAGUAACACGUGGGUGAUCUGCCCUGCACUUUGGGAUAAGCCUGGGAAACUGGGUCUAAUACCGAAUAUGACCACGCUCUUCAUGGGGUGUGGUGGAAAGCUUUUGCGGUGUGGGAUGGGCCCGCGGCCUAUCAGCUUGUUGGUGGGGUAAUGGCCUACCAAGGCGACGACGGGUAGCCGGCCUGAGAGGGUGACCGGCCACACUGGGACUGAGAUACGGCCCAGACUCCUACGGGAGGCAGCAGUGGGGAAUAUUGCACAAUGGGCGCAAGCCUGAUGCAGCGACGCCGCGUGAGGGAUGACGGCCUUCGGGUUGUAAACCUCUUUCACCAGGGACGAAGCGCAAGUGACGGUACCUGGAGAAGAAGCACCGGCCAACUACGUGCCAGCAGCCGCGGUAAUACGUAGGGUGCGAGCGUUGUCCGGAAUUACUGGGCGUAAAGAGCUCGUAGGUGGUUUGUCGCGUUGUUCGUGAAAACUCACAGCUUAACUGUGGGCGUGCGGGCGAUACGGGCAGACUAGAGUACUGCAGGGGAGACUGGAAUUCCUGGUGUAGCGGUGGAAUGCGCAGA